CCUACGGGCGGCAGCAGUCGAGAAUCAUUCACAAUGGGGGAAACCCUGAUGGUGCGACGCCGCGUGGGGGAAUGAAGGUCUUCGGAUUGUAAACCCCUGUCAUGUGGGAGCAAAUUAAAAAGAUAGUACCACAAGAGGAAGAGACGGCUAACUCCGUGCCAGCAGCCGCGGUAAUACAGAGGUCUCAAGCGUUGUUCGGAAGCACUGGGCGUAAAGCGUGCGUAGGCUGUUUCGUAAGUCGUGUGUGAAAGGCGCGGGCUCAACCCGCGGACGGCACAUGAUACUGCGAGACUAGAGUAAUGGAGGGGGAACCGGAAUUCUCGGUGUAGCAGUGAAAUGCGUAGAUAUCGAGAGGAACACUCGUGGCGAAGGCGGGUUACUGGACAGUAACUGACGCUGAGGCACGAAGGCCAGGGGAGCGAAAGGGAUUAGAUACCCGAGUAGUC
This 446-nucleotide ribosomal RNA is filed under the name uncultured bacterium. Its description in RNAcentral is "partial 16S ribosomal RNA". It matches the Rfam family "Bacterial small subunit ribosomal RNA", at positions 338 to 795 of the family's 1533-position model. The record is from RNAcentral.